This 685-nucleotide long non-coding RNA is filed under the name Mytilus galloprovincialis (Mediterranean mussel). Lineage: Eukaryota; Metazoa; Mollusca; Bivalvia; Mytilida; Mytilidae. The record is from RNAcentral.
GAUUUUUAUGUUCCGUAAACAUGUUGUUUACGUUUUUAUGUACUUAAUUCUAGCAAUCGGGGAUUAUUUUCGUUCUUGUCAGGCCCGUUCACAGUUCCCCGUUCGUUUCCCCGUUAAGAACCGUUCGUUACCCCGAUAGCUUCAUCGGGGUAUAAAAAGCUUGCACCUGUUUGUCAGGGGCUCUUCCUCCUUAGUCAGACCUACAGAUAUGUUGCCAGAUUUUCGGUCAGUUGAUACUGUCGAUUAUUCAAUAUUCGCUGAGUUAGCAUAUUUUAUCAUGUAUUUCAUGAGAUUCUAAGCAGUUUUACUGCAGUUUAGAACUUUUUGGACGUUUUCUGUUCACUAUAAGUCUAGUAUUCUAGUACUUAGAUCAGAAUCAAAAAUGGAGUUAAUAUAAUUGUACAUGUACAUGUAAAUAGCUGGUCUAUUUAUUCAGGCUAGCUUUCAUUUGCUAACCUGUUUCUUUGAGGUAAACGGAUUAAAGUUACAUGCCUUCCCCAUUCCCCUUUUUCCCAUUUUGUUAAGUAUCCUGUUGCUGAGAUUUUCCAGCAUUCAGAGAGAAUAUUUGUAAAUUCUGUAUAUUUGAUAGGCUAAGAAUUGUAAGAAGCUAGAAUAAUUACUGUUUAACUACUCUCAAUCUCAGUGAUUGAAGUUUGUCUCCCUGUGCUUACUCCAGGAGACUGAA